This 274-nucleotide ribosomal RNA is filed under the name uncultured bacterium. RNAcentral describes it as "partial 16S ribosomal RNA". It matches the Rfam family "Bacterial small subunit ribosomal RNA", at positions 523 to 796 of the family's 1533-position model. The record is from RNAcentral.
AUACGGAGGGUGCAAGCGUUACUCGGAAUCACUGGGCGUAAAGCGCGCGCAGGCGGUUUGAUAAGUUGGAUGUGAAAUCCUAUGGCUCAACCAUAGAACUGCAUCCAAAACUGUCAAACUAGAGUCUGGGAGAGGAAGAUGGAAUUAGUUGUGUAGGGGUAAAAUCCGUAGAGAUAACUAGGAAUACCAAAAGCGAAGGCGAUCUUCUGGAACAGUACUGACGCUGAGGCGCGAAAGCGUGGGGAGCAAACAGGAUUAGAUACCCUAGUAGUCC